CUGGGCGAGGUGCUGGGAAUCUGAGCGAGGUGCUGGGGUGCAGGGGCCAGGGGCGGAGGGGGAGCGGCUGUGCAGAGGCCUGGUCUGUGUCCUCAGUUCCCCACAACACUGGCAACAACCUGGCUGAGAAAGGCAACCAGACAGCAGCCAGCAGGUGCCACCAGGAAGCGGUAAGAUGAAUUCCCAAGUAUGUUCGUGCCGUGAAUAAUCUUGGAAAUAGCUUAAAAGAAAGGCACGAGCUACAGGAAGCUGAGGAGCUGCCGUCUUUGGCUGUUCAAACACUGCCAGACUUUGCCGCUGCGUGGACGGAUCCAGGUAUCCUGCAGAACAGCCUGAGCGAAGUUACCGGAGGGCGAUUAAACACAGAAGGAAACACCCAGAUUGUUACCACAGCCUCGGGCUCUGUACGCUGAUCUCAGUCGCCACGUGGAUGCCUUGAAUGCGAGGAGAGAGGAGCUGACACCAGAGCACAGCCUGGCCUGGAGCACGUGAUGACACUGCUCGAAAAUACAGGUAAUUUAGCUCAAGCUGAAGCAGUUGGAAGACAGGCACUGGAAUGAACAGCUAAUGAUCCCUCUGUCAUGUUCUCGUUGGCAAAGGUGCUGGGGAAAUCCCAGAAAUACAAGGAAUCUGAAGCUUUGUUCCUCGAGGCAAUGAAAGCAAAUCCAGAUUCUGCAGGUUACCGUGGAAACGUGGCUGUGCCUUAUCACGCUGGGGACACCUAGACUUGGCCAAGAAACACUGUGAAAUCUCAUUGCAGCUUGACCCCAGGACAUUAGGAACUAAGGAGAACUACGGUCUGCUAAGAAGAAAGCUAGAACAAAGGCAGAAGAAAGACGUCUGAUCCUUUUUCCUUCAUGUUUUGAGUUUGAGUGUGUGUGUGCAUGAGGCAUAUCGUUAAUAGUAUGUGGUUACAUUUAACCAUUUAAAAGUCUUAGACAAGUUAUUUUAUUGAUUUUUUUCUAUGAAAACAAAGACAUGCAAAAAGAUUAUGGCACUAGCAAUAUACUCUUGAAUGCUUGAUACGAUUUUUCACUGAAAUUGUAUUUUUUCAGACAACUCAAGUGUAAUUCUAAAAUUCCAAAAUUGUCUUUUUUAAUUAAACAGAAAAAGAGAAAAAAUUAUCUUGAGCAACUUUUAGUAGAAUUGAACGUACAUUUGGGAUCUGAGCCUUGUCAGGUAUGGACUAGCACUAUUAAACUUCAAUUAUGACCAAGAAAGGAUAGACUGACUGCUACACUUUGUAUAAAUAUUGAACGUGUCUGUAUGUUAGCAUUUUUAUCUAAUGACAAAGCAAAUGAAGAUUCUUGUUUUUUUAUCUCUUUUUUUUUAAAAAACAAUAUACUGUGAACUUCGUUUGUAAGGAAAUAUUUAUUCGUAUUUUUAUGUUUGGAAUGGGACAAAUAAUCGAAUGAGGAAUGGAAAUUUUAACAUGUAGCACAUCUAUUUGCUUUUCCCCAUAGGAAGAAAUUGACUCUUGCAGUAGUUUUUGAAUGCUCUGACUUGGGCAAUUUCAAUACGUAGGAGGUUAUGUAAUGUAAUAUUUUACAUAAACGAUUACUAUCAAUAGAAAGUUCAAGCCAUGCUUUAGGCAAGGGCAGGCAGCCUCACAGCUUUAUUUUUGUUACAUCCCAGGUGAAGAGGGCAACACAUCUGUGUAAGUUGCUUUUUAGUGUUUUAAACUGAAAAGCCAUUUUCCAUUUUGCUUAAUGAAACUAUAGACAUUAUUCUAUCCAGAAAAUGCAAAAUUUUCUCUCAAAUGGAGCCUCAUUCAGGGAAUUUGUGAUAUUUUUAAGAAUUGAGUUGUUCCUGCUGUUUUUUUAUUUGAUCCAAACUGUGUUUUUGUUUUGUUCUUCUCUGUGCGCUGUUGACCUAAUGAUUUACACAAUCUCUGUAAUUUCUUAUGCAGUAAAAUUAUUACAAACUAGCAAAAAAAAAAAAAAAAA
Molecule: long non-coding RNA, 1946 nt
Organism: Macaca fascicularis (crab-eating macaque)
Lineage: Eukaryota; Metazoa; Chordata; Mammalia; Primates; Cercopithecidae
Source: Ensembl